This 298-nucleotide small RNA is filed under the name Thermincola carboxydiphila JR. RNAcentral describes it as "Thermincola potens JR 5' ureB small RNA". It matches the Rfam family "5' ureB small RNA". Lineage: Bacteria; Bacillati; Bacillota; Clostridia; Eubacteriales; Thermincolaceae. The record is from Rfam by way of RNAcentral.
CCGUUUCUACCUGCUGCGGGGAAAUAAAGUGAAUGUGGGUAUCUAUCCCACCGGGUGUUACAAUCAUCCCUUCCCCGGCAAUAACUUCCGUAGCAGCCCCCACAACCAUACCGGGGUCAACCCCGUCCAUCAGGUUAGGGUUCCCAGCCUUGCCUAUACCGACAAUUCUUCCGUCACGGAUACCGAUAUCGGCCUUAACAAUACCCCAGUGGUCGAGGAUCAGUGCAUUAGUGAUGACCAGGUCCAAAACCCCCUCUUCCCUGGUAGCGUUCGGGGACUGACCCAUCCCGUCCCGCAG